GAGUUUGAUCAUGGCUCAGAUUGAACGCUGGCGGCAUGCCUAACACAUGCAAGUCGAACGAGGUGUAGCAAUACACCUAGUGGCGGACGGGUGAGUAAUACGUAGGAAUCUGCCUCAGAGUGGGGGAUAGCCCGGGGAAACUCGGAUUAAUACCGCAUGAUCUCGCAAGAGCAAAGCAGGGGACCGCAAGGCCUUGUGCUCUGAGAGGAGCCUACGUCUGAUUAGCUAGUUGGCGGGGUAAUGGCCCACCAAGGCAACGAUCAGUAACUGGUCUGAGAGGACGAUCAGUCACACCGGAACUGAGACACGGUCCGGACUCCUACGGGAGGCAGCAGUGGGGAAUAUUGGACAAUGGGCGAAAGCCUGAUCCAGCAAUGCCGCGUGUGUGAAGAAGGCCUUCGGGUUGUAAAGCACUUUAGUCAGGGAAGAAAAAGCUCAAGCUAAUAUCUUGAGUGUUGACGGUACCUGAAGAAUAAGCACCGGCUAACUCUGUGCCAGCAGCCGCGGUAAUACAGAGGGUGCGAGCGUUAAUCGGAUUUACUGGGCGUAAAGCGUGUGUAGGUGGCUGUUCAAGUCGGUUGUGAAAUCCCCGGGCUCAACCUGGGAAUUGCUUCCGAGACUGAGCGGCUAGAGUACGAUAGAGGAAAGUGGAAUUUCUAGUGUAGAGGUGAAAUUCGUAGAUAUUAGAAAGAACACCAAUUGCGAAGGCAGCUUUCUGGAUCAUUACUGACACUGAGGAGCGAAAGCAUGGGUAGCGAAGAGGAUUAGAUACCCUCGUAGUCCAUGCCGUAAACGAUGUGUGCUAGACGUUGGAAAUUUAUUUUUCAGUGUCGCAGCAAAAGCGAUAAGCACACCGCCUGGGGAGUACGACCGCAAGGUUAAAACUCAAAUGAAUUGACGGGGACCCGCACAAGUAGUGGAGCAUGUGGUUUAAUUCGAAGAUACGCGCAGAACCUUACCAACACUUGACAUGUUCGUCGCGACUCUAAGAGAUUAGAGUCUUCGGUUCGGCCGGACGAAACACAGGUGCUGCAUGGCUGUCGUCAGCUCGUGUCGUGAGAUGUUGGGUUAAGUCCCGCAACGAGCGCAACCCCUACUUUUAGUUGCUACCAUUUAGUUGGGCACUCUAAAAGAACUGCCGGUGAUAAGCUGGAGGAAGGCGGGGAUGACGUCAAGUCCUCAUGACCCUUACGUGUUGGGCUACACACGUGCUACAAUGGUACUUACAGUGAGAUGCUAAGAGGCGACUCUAAGCCAAUCCCAAAAAGGUACCUCAGUUCGGAUUGUACUCUGCAACUCGAGUACAUGAAGCUGGAAUUACUAGUAAUCGUGGAUCAGCGCGCCACGGUGAAUGCGUUCCCGGGUCUUGUACACACCGCCCGUCACACCAUGGAAGUUGGUUACACCUUAAGGCAAAGCAUAAAACCUUUGACUACGGUACGAUCAGCGACUGGGGUGAAGUCGUAACAAGGUAACC
Molecule: ribosomal RNA, 1477 nt
Filed under: uncultured bacterium
Lineage: Bacteria
Description: partial 16S ribosomal RNA
Rfam family: Bacterial small subunit ribosomal RNA
Source: RNAcentral